UGGCUAUGAGGAGAAAACUUGACACAUGAGAAAAGCUGAUUUUGUCUAUACGCUAUUCUGAGCCACCG
Scleropages formosus (Asian bonytongue) is the source of this 68-nucleotide small nucleolar RNA. Ensembl annotates it as small nucleolar RNA U54. Its record names the gene SNORD54. The record is from Ensembl. Lineage: Eukaryota; Metazoa; Chordata; Actinopteri; Osteoglossiformes; Osteoglossidae.